AAGUCGUAACAAGGUUUCCGUAGGUGAACCUGCGGAAGGAUCAUUAACGUAUCUCCGACGGCGAGGGGGCGCCCCGCUCCGGGUCCGAAAGGCCCCGUGCAGCGGGUGGUCCCGAGCCGCUCGACCCCUUUGCAAACCCCACUGUGCACAUUUGUCGGCAGAGGGCGCUCAGGCGCCCCGAGCCGCACACACAAACCCCAAAAAAACUAAAAGAAUGAUCAGCGGACACUGUGCCGCCUAAACUUUAACAACUUUCAACAACGGAUCUCUUGGCUCUC
This 278-nucleotide unclassified non-coding RNA is filed under the name air metagenome. RNAcentral describes it as "partial contains small subunit ribosomal RNA, internal transcribed spacer 1, and 5.8S ribosomal RNA". The stretch from base 1 to 46 matches the Rfam family "Eukaryotic small subunit ribosomal RNA", at positions 1786 to 1831 of the family's 1831-position model. The record is from RNAcentral.